ACCAAAACAAAAGCAAAAUUGGGCUGCAAAGUUUGCCCAAAAGAGACAGAUCCUAAAAGCAAAACGGAAGAUGAAAAAACAAAAAUAGUAAUUAAAAACCCAGUCAAAUCUAACAGCUGGACGCAAUUAAAUCCCACCUUUUCAUAUUGAAUCGUCACAUCUGUUCAGAGGAUAACAGUUUCCCAAAAGAUUUUCUUCCAUCUGUUAUCAUUUCCAAAUCUCUUUUCUUUUGAAAACCCUUCAAUCCGGGUUCCUUGCCCAUUCCUCCUGCAGAGGUCCUUCACUGCAGAUCCUCUUGAUUCCGACCAGGUUCCUCUCUUCUCCCUUUGUUAAUGUUUCUUUCGCCAGUUUACGGGCUUGAUAGUUUUUUGGUUUUUGAAUAAACUAAAAAAUAAUUUCUUGAAAUCGAGAACUAUGAUUCUGAAUAUCUCUGAUAACUGCUCCAAUAAUCGACUUAUCCAUACCUGUUGCUUGACAUUUCUUUAUGACUGUCUUCAAAUCUCCCAUGAUUGUAACUGAUCGGAGACCCAUUGCUAAGCCUAACUUUACUGCCUGUAGGCAUGCAGAUGCUUCUACAAGAAACGGAGAUGAAAUGUUGGAAUGGAAGGUUAUUUUCAAGGCUCUUAUCUCUCCCCUCCAGUCUCGUACAAUAAUUCCCGACGCCGAUCUAUACCUGUUAGCAUCAAAAGCUGCAUCAAAAUGUAUUAUGUCCUGUGUUCUUGCUUCCCAAUGUCUCUGAACUUCGGCAGUCUUCAAGGUACGUUUUUCCAUUCCCACUGUUUCAAUCUCAGCUAAAUAAGUCUUUAUUCUGUGAACAAGAUCCCUUCCUGAUACAAUCUUCCUCUCAUGCACCAUUUGAUUUCGCGAUUCCAUAUCGCCCAUAAGGCACAGCAAAACACCUAACACUAUUCCUUGGUUCCUUUUUCGAAGACCCAAGUAAGCCAUGUUCUAGUAUUUUGAUCUUUGUAUGGUGUAACCCAAGACAUACUAAUGUUUUUCCAAACUUCAUUGCUUUUAGGGCACUGCAAAAAUACGUGGAGACUGUUCUCUUCCCCGGAACCACAUCGAGGACAUCUCACGUUUGUGGUUAAACGUUUGCAUCGUAGAUUGACUAGUGUAGGAAUGUAGUUCCAGGAUAUCCUCCAAAUCAAAAGUAGAAUUUUUGAUGGAAUUUGUAAUUGCCAUAAUUUUCUGUAGAAAUCUUUGAAUUCGGUCUGUAAUAAAUUAUUAGGAUCCGGAUUAGCAUCUUGUAAUAGUUUAUAAGCGCUCCGUACUGAGAAUUCUCCGGACGGUUCUCCCUUCCAAACGAGCAAAUAUUCACUGUCUGUAGUUGCAAGUGGGAUCUGUAAUAUUUUUUGCGCAAUGUCCGUUUGAAAGGUAUGAGUAACAACCUCCACUUUCCACGUCUUAUUUAUUCCAUCAAUUAGAUCUGAUACAUUUUCCAGCUCUCCAUUUUGAUGACUGUUUUGCCAUAUACUAGGUUCGAUUUCCAGAAUCCACCGGUCAGUCUAAAUAGAAAUGUUGCUUCCUUUCCCAACUCUCCAACAUAGCCCUUGAGUGAGAAGUCCCUUUGCAGCCCAGAUACUCUUCCAGGUAAGGGAAGGUAAAUUCCUCAACUCAGCACUUAGAAAAUUUGAAUUUGGAUAAUACUUUGCUUUAAGAACCCUGGCUAAAAGUGAAUUCGGAUAAUUGAAAAGACGCCACCCCUGUUUGGCAAGCAAUGCAAUAUUGAUCUGACUGAGAUUACGAAAGCAUAAACCUCCAUUCUCUUUUAAACUGCAUAAAUUUUUCCACGAGCUCCAAUGAAUUCCCCCUUUUCCAUGUCCCUUUUUCCACCAAAAUUUCGCAAUAAUUGCCUCCAUUUCGUCACAUAAGGAUUUCGAGAGUAAGAAGCAAGCCCUUGAGUAAUUCGGAAUAGCUUGCAAAACAGCUUUGAUAUAAAUCUCAUACUCCAAUUAUCAUUUCGUUGUUUUAUUCUGUCUUUCAACGCCUAAAAGGAAACCUUUUUCUUUCGUCCCACCAUGUUCGGCAAACCAAGGUAACGUUCAGGCUCAUUUGAACUUCGAACUCCAAGAAAAUUGACAAUCCGUCUUCUUUCCUCCUCAAUAGUGUUUUUGCUGAGAAAGAUGGUUGAUUUCUCAAAGUUCACACAUUGCCCCGAGCACCUUCUAUAUUCGCUUAAUAUUGACUUGAAUGUAUUAGCCCCUCUACAUGUUGCCUCCCCAGAAAAGAUACAAUUGUCUGCAAAUAGUAAGUGCGAUAUUUGUGGACCUAGUCUACUUUGACACCCUUUAAAAAUCCUUCCUCUACUGCUGUUCUCAUGAGUCUGGAAAGGCCUUCUCCACAUAUUAGGAAAAUAAACGGGCUCAAAGGGUCCCCUUGUCGAAGUCCUCUUGAUGGAUAGAAUUUCAUUCCAACAGUUCCAUUGAUCAUAACCUUGUAUGUAACAGUAGUCAAACAUUUCAAAAUAUUGUCAAUCUAAUUUUGAGUGAAUCCCAUUCGAGACAUUAACUUUUUGAUAAAAAUCCAUUCCACCUUAUCAUAAGCCUUGCUCAUAUCCAGUUUUACUUCCAAAUAACCCUUUUUCCCCACUCUUUUUUGCUUUAAAGAAUGUACUAUCUCAUAAGCAAACAAAACAUUAUCAAAAACUAAUCUUCCUAGCACAAAGGCACUUUGAGCCCUAUUAAUGCAUUUAUCAAUCACCCCUCUAAAUCUAUUCGCUAUAGCUUUUGCAAUAACUUUACAAACAACAUUGCAUAAACUAAUGGGCCUAAACUGUGACAUAUUUGUAGGAUUAUUAAUUUUUGGAAUGAGCACAAAAUGAGAUGAAUUAAUAGCACUGACCUCCAUAUAUCUGUUUAAGAGUAGAAGACAAAAGGAAACUGUAUCCUCGCCAAUAAAAUGCCAGCACUUCUGAUAAAAGAUGGCUGGGAAUCCAUCUUCACCUGGCGCCUUAGUGGGUCCAUUUCAAAAAGAGCCUCGUGAAUUUCUUCUCUUGUAUAAUGUGCGGUAAGCCUUUUAUUAUCCACGUCAUUAAUACAUCGAUUUAUACGGGAGAGUAAGUAAUCAAAAUUUCCCUGAUUCUCUGAUGAAAAUAGAUUUUGAAAGUAAGACCUAGCAAUUUCUUCCAUUUCCUAUAGAUUUUCCGUGUCCCUACCAUGCCCGGAUUGUAAACUCUUGAUCAUGUUUUUCUUUCACCAUUGAGUUGCUUGGCUAUGGAAAAAAGCUGUGUUUUUAUCCCCUUAUUUGAGCCAGUUCAGUCUUGCCCGUUGCUCCCAAUAUCUUUCAUCUUUCUCAAUCUCCAAGUUAAGUUGAACCUUCUUAUCGAUCAUCUCCGCCAUGUUGCUAUCAUCGCUCUCAGCUUCAAGCAAUUCAGAUAACUUUGCUGUUAAAUAAUUCUUUUUCCCUUUCUUGUUCUUUAAAAUUUUUCCUGCCCAAUCUUCCAGCCCCUUUUUUAAGAAAUCCAUCUUCUGUAGGAAAUUACCAGUUGAUAUCUUCUAUACAUGUUCGGCAAUGUCGACAAAGGAGUCCUUCAAAAACCACCAGUUUUCAAUUCUGAAACUUUUUUCAUUCUGCUGUCUGAUUUCCUUCUUUGUAUCAAUAAGGAGAGGACAAUGAUCAGAAAAAGAAUGCACCAAAUGCUGAGCUUUUAUAUCAGAGAAAAACGAAAUCCACUCCUUAUUUGCUACCCCUCUAUCCAAACGUUCUCGUAUAUUCGUCUGUAGUAGAUUACCUCGUUCCCAUGUAAACCAUCUACCCACGUAUCCCACAUCAUUCAGUUGGCAUAAUUCCAAAGAUUUCUGAAAUUUUCCAUCCUUCUCACAUCUCGGGGUUUACCUCCUUUCUUCUCACAACCAUACAUGAUUUCAUUAAAAUCUUCACAUACAAACCAUGGAUUAUUCUCUCCAUUAUAGAGGUUUUUCAAGAUAGCCCAUGAAUCUUCCUUAUCUUGUGCAUACGGAGUUACAUAAAAUCCUGUAAAUCGCCACAUAACCUCCCUUUCAUUAUCAUGCACUAUCACAUUAAUAUGUCUUUUAGAGAAGCUUUGAGAGUAAUAUUGACCUCAUGCCUCCAAGCCAAACAUAGCCCUCCUUUAGUUCCCUCUAGAUCCACCUCUAUGCCAUUCACAAAACCACAUCUUUGCCUAACUUUUUCCAUUUGAAUUCUGCCAAGUUUCAUCUCCAUAAAGAAGGCAAUCUGGGGGUCGUAAGUCUUCAGCGAAUGCUGAAGUCUUCUAAAUAUCCAUGGACUCCCCAAUCCACGGACAUUCCAACUUAGGAUUUUCAUAAUUCCCAGUCGGCUUGCCUCUUGGCAUUCGCCGAUAUCAAGUGGUUAAGGUCCCUCAAUCUCUUACUUCUUUUUGGGGAGGUAAUCCCCUCAUUUUGUAAUAAAUCGUCAUUCUCCAUUCUGGAUCUUUUUUUACCUUCUUCUCCUGCUAAAGCCACUUCCUCAAAAUCAUGUCCCAUCGCAUAAUGGCCACGGUCCAUCAAUGAGUUAACUUGCUUUUCAUCUUCACACAAGGAGCCACCUUCCACAUUAAAGCCCAUAAUUGGAUCAACUGCCUUACCAUAACUCUUAUUGCGCUCCAUUGUCUAUAGUCCCCUUACAAAACCCCUAUUUCCUUCUUGAAUUCCACCUGUAGUCCCCUCCCCAUCUUCUUGUAGCCGGACGCUAUUCAUAGACAGAGCUCUUCGGGACUGUGCUCUUAUUGAUAAGUCCCACCCAUUUCUGCGAGUUCCACUCCAAUCAACAUUUUUGCCUCACAAAAAGAAUCAUUGUGACCCAAUUUUCCACAAUAGAAACAAAAAAGUGUCAAUCUUUCAUAUGUAAACCAGACAUAUGACUUUCUCCCCCGGUAUUCGAGUAGCUUCUUUCUUUUCGAAAGACGUCUGGUAUCAACUUGGACCCUAAUCCUCAUAAAAUUCCUAUUUUCCUUCCCUAAAUUAGACCCAUCAUAUUCCAUGAAAUUUCCCAGAAUAUUCCCCAGAUUAAUUGCUAGGUUUUCAGAAAACAAACCAAUAGGUGCUUCAUGAAUCUGAACCCAAAAAGGGGUCAAUACUAAAGGGACCUGCAUGGGUUCCUCCUCCCACCUUAAUUUAUAAAGAAACAACAGAUGAUUGUUGAAUGUCCAUAGGGAGCCUUUCAAAACGCUUUCAAGAUCCAUAUAAUGAAAAAAUUGAAAUAAAAAUCCUUUUUCCCCCUAGAUCUCGGAUACGAACUCCACGAACAGGAUGCCACAGAUUUACCAUGGUACUUUUCAUGGCUGGAAAAUGAAUUAUACUUGCUGUAAGAAAGCACCCCACCAUUUGAAGAAACUCCUUUGUUCUUUCCGUUCCAGGAUUUUCUUGGAUUUGGAUAACAUCAUCCUCCUCUUCAUUAAUUGUUAAUUGGGCUAAUUCAUUCUCCAUACUUUUUCCAGAAACAGAAGUGCAGGAAUCCAGAAAAGAAGACGGGCAAAACAAGAAGACCUAAAAAAAACAGGAAAACCUAAAAGCUUGUCAGAGGCGGCAGACACAAUCGUGCUAGGGUAGCAGACUAAAUGCAAUUCAUCCUUAAUUUGAAAUAUUCAUAAAUAAUAAAAGAAAUAAAUAUUCUAAGAUGGAACUAAAAAAAAUAAAAAUUAACUUAAAGGUGAAAUUAAAUAGUAACGAAUUAGAAGUGAAAUAUAUCAAACGAUUUUUUUUUUUGUAUAAUUCAAAAAGUGAAAAUGAUAUAUAUAUUUCAAAUUAUAAAUGGACAAGUAAAAAAUCAUUAUUAAAAAAUAUGCAAGGCGUACAUAAAUUCGUAAUAAUAGUGCAAAUGUCUUAAUCAUAGACCGCAUCACUUCGAGGUUUUUUUUUUUUAAACUGUGUUUAUCUUAAUCAAUUCUGUUCCAGUACUACUAGUUAGAAUACUCUGUUCUGAUAGUAAAUCAAAACAAUAAGUUUAAUAAAUUUUAAGUUUUAUUUUGGUGUAAAUUUAGGUUGGUAUCGAUCGUGUUAGAUGAAUCGAUUUAUUUCACCUAUACUAGUUAGAACAUGGUGUAUCACUUAAUACAAAAAAAAAAUAAUUUUAAAAUAUAGAUUUAAUUUUAAUUUUUUAUAAUUUAUUUUGAAUUUAUUAAAUUAUGGGUUUUUAUAGACAUGGUAUGAGAUUGUUUUAUUAUUUAAUUUAUGCAAUAUUUUUUUGUUGCUUAUUUUUUUUAGUUUGUUUAAUGAUGGAUUGUAUUUGUGAAGCUUAUUAAAAAAUAUUUUAUAUUUAUUUAAUCUUGUUAUUUAAUAUUUGUACAUAAUUUUUUAUCUACAUAUAUCACAUGUUUUAUAAAUCCAAAAUUAUACACCAAAGCAAAACGGAACUAAUAUGUACCAAUUUUAGUAGAAAAAUAGCAUGCCUAUCGAUAUGGUACUAUCUUGGUUUAUCUUGUAAUAUAUAAUAUUAUAUAGGGUAAAUUACUAAAAUAGUCAUUUUUGUUUGUCUGAAGUUACAUUUUAGUCAGUUAUGUUAUCGCGUUGAAACAUUUUAGUCACCGAGUCGUUAAUUGUCGUUAAUAGUAUAAUGGUAAGCUGACGUGGCAUGUUAAGUCAUCAUUCCAAAUAAAAAUUUUGGGUUAGUUUAUACAAUUGGUCCUCAUAUUUUUUCGUUUUGAGCAAUUUAAUUUUUUUCUUUUAUAUUCUUUUAACUUUCCUUUUUUUUUUCUUUUGGUUUCCAUUCUCUUCUGAUUCUCUCUCUAUUUUCCUCCCUUUUUCAUUUCCUUUAACGUAGUUUUUCUAUGUUUAAAACUAGUUCAUGUACUUUUAUAUUUUUGAACAAUUUAAUUUUUUUGAGUGAUGUGAACUUGUGGGCUAGUUUUAAUAAAUAGAAAAUAUAGAAAAACUAUAUUAAAAGAAAUGAAGAAGGGAGAAAAACAGAGGGAGAAGUAGAAGAGAAUAAAAAAUAAAGAAAAAACAUUAAAAGAGCAUAAAAUAAAAAAUUAAAUUGCUCAAAAUGAAAAAAUAUAGGGACCAAUUGUAGAAUUUAACCUAAAAUUUGUGUUUGAGAUGAUGAUUUAACAUGUCACGUCAGCUUACCGUUACACCGUUAACAUCAAUUAAUGGUUCAGUGAUUAGAAUGUUAUAACACAAUAACGUAAGUGACUAAAACAUAAACUUUUAAACAUAAGUGACAAAAAUGUAACCUGAGGCAAACAAAAGUGACUAUUUUAAUAGUUUACCCUAUUAUAUAAAUGAAUGAUAUUAUAACAUGCUGAUGAUGUGGGAGAAAAUUUAUGUAAUAAAAAUAUUUUUUCAAAGCUUGUGUAAAAAAAUUAAAAAUUUAUGAUUCAUUAUUUCUCAAGUUCAAAUCUCAUUAUGCAAUUUUUAUUGAUUUAUAAUAAUAUAGAAAGAAAAGAAAAACACUCACAAGCAAUAAAAUUUACUUUAUAAAAUGAAUGAUUUUUCAAUAAUUUCUAUCUAAAUUAAUGUUCCAACUCAGUAAAAGGCUUAAAUGUAAUGGUAAACUCUCAUUGUCCCUAAACUUUGGUCAAGAUAACGUUUCGACCACCCAACAUUUUUACUUACAUAAUAACCAUUAAUGUUAUUGAAUUGUUACUUUUUUACCACUCAUCUAUUACGUCCUAUUGAAAUGAUAAAAUGAUAACAUGACAUGUUAAGUUAAAAGGAUAAUAAUCAAUUUUAUCCCUAAAAUAUAAAUAAAAUAUUAUUUUGAUAUUUUAAAUUAUUUUCAUAAUAAUUAUUCUAAUUUUUUAAAAAACAUUAAGUAUAAAUUAAAAUUAAUUACAAAUAAUUAUUAUAAAAAUUAAAUAAAAGUUUUAUAUUAAUAUUAAAUAAAAAUAAUUAUAUUAAUAUAAACUAAACUAAAAUCCUCCCCUCCAGUCCCCACUCCGUCCCUCUCUUUCCCCCACCGUCCCCCCCACCUGCCCCUCUCCUCUCCCCCUACCUCUCUCCCUCUCCCCUUCCCCCUCCUCCCGUCCCUCUGUUAUGGUCGAAAAUGUAAUAGGUAAAAAUGGUGCGGUUUGGAGUCAAGUUAAUGAAACGGUGCGCAAUGGAGUCUUAGUUAAACAGGGCGUUUAAGAGUAACUCCUAUUGUCAGUUACUAUUUACCUUAACGAACUUUUAAUUGCGAUAAUUUAUUCUCUUUAUAUUUGGUUGUAAAAGGUUGAGUCAAACACAAGAACAAAAACAGUUUUUCUGAGUAAGAUUCUCUCUCAAUCUCUUCUGUCCUAUCUCUCUUCUCUUUGUUAUUUUUUUAUUGCCACCAUAUCAAGGGUAUCAAAGCUAACAAUCAGCGAUGGUCGGUGAUGGUGUAACCACGAGACUAUAGAAGGAUGUUGCCGUUCUUCAACAGGAGACGGCAAAAGUUCCAGAAUAAACUCUCGCAGUUGGACUCUAAGUGAUAUGCUAAAAUGGAGGCUCGAUUUCAAGGGUUCAAGGAAGAGUUUCAAAUGGAGAUGUAUUCUCUGUUUGAGAAAUAACUAGGCAACCAAACUGCUUCAAACAUGACAACCACUGCACAUGCCAAGGGAAAAGGAGUUCUGGGAGGCCCACUACCUGGGUUCCCAACCAAGGAAACUCUAGAAGUUCCUCAACCAUCUACAGGACCAACUAAUCCAUACCCGCCUAGAGUAAAGUUCCUUCAGGAAUGUGCCUACAUGUUAGAAUGCCUUCGUUUUGAUGGCACUGAUUUUCGAGGUUGGUGGUCGAAAUUGGAACAGUAUUUUGCAGUUGAGGGAGUAUCUAAAGGAGACAAGGUACGUACCAUGAUGCUUCACUUAGGUGGUCGUACCUUGGACUAGCACCACUUCUAUGCUCAAAAGCAUGGUGGCCUACACUUGUUGGACUAGGUUUGUUAUGCUCAUAGUCUAAAGGAGUAGUUUGGGGCAAGCAUUUUCAAAGACUUUAUGGCUGAGUUAGUAACCCUGAAACAACAAGGCUUAGUGAAGCAAUAUCACGAUCAGUUUGUAAGUAUUUUAGACCAGUUACAGUUGCCUGAACCUUAUGCCCUUAGCAUAUAUGUGAGUAAUUUGAAGACAAAAAUAAGUAAGCACUUACAGUUGUUUAGACCCUAAACUUUAGUCGAAGGGUUUCAUAUUGCUUAAUAGGUGGAGAGCAUCCUAGAAAUCUCUCCUAGGAAGGGAUUUUUAACUGGAACUACUUUUAUAACCAGAGCCAGUCCUCAUCAGACCACUUUUAUUUCUACUUGAGCACCUGUCUCUACACAGUUUAGCCCUUCAGUAGACCUUCUUUCAAGGGGAUCUAUGACUUCUAAGGCAUAUUCCAAGGGAGUAAGUUCAACACUAAUGGCUAAAAGGAAACAAAAGGGUAUUUGUUAUUGGUGUGGAGCCAAAUACCACAUUGGUCACAAAUGUGUUAAAAGUCAACUUUACCAGAUGUUGUUAGAUUCACCUAGUGAAGAGGACACGAGGGAAUUUCUAGAAUGCUCAGAACAGCUGGAGAACCUUCUUAGGAGAGAGGAACAAAAAUAAGGGCAUGCGUUAUCCCUGUAUGCAAUUAAAAGAUCACAUGGUCCUCACACUAUGAAGUUUCAGGCAAAAAUAAGGACAACCAAAGUCAUAGUUCUGGUAGAUUCUGAAAGCACCCUUAACUUUUUAGACAUUAAAUUGGUGACUCGGUUUUUCGUAUCUAUUACGUAUCCAUAACAGUUAAGGGUUACUGUGGCUAAUGGCAAACAGUUGUUUACCAGGGGCACAUAUAAAGAUGUGGAACGGGCGGUUCAAGGAAUUUGUUUCACUGCUGACUUCAUGAUCUUACUGUAAUACCCUAUUUUGGCCCGGGUCUAAAACGCCCAAACAACAACGGGCCUAUAGGGCCCAAACUCUAAAACAGAACAGAGGCCCAACGUUUCCAGCACAGAGGAAACCCUAGAGGUCCUUCCACGUUCGCGCCGCAGCCGCAAGCUCCAAAUCUUUGCCUAAUCUUCACCUGCACAACAAGAAAAGAAACGAGAUAGAAUAUGGCAAGAAAAAUCUUUGAAAUCAUGAAAGAUACCAGAAGAUUUUGUUUACUUUUCUUGUUUCAUUGUUUGCUAUAAAAGCAAACUCAAUAUAUUGUAAACUGGGGGGAAAUUUAAUGUAAAAAAUAAAAAAUAUAGAGAGAAAAUACGGAGAAUACAAAG
RNAcentral lists this long non-coding RNA (10110 nucleotides) under Gossypium barbadense (sea-island cotton). RNAcentral describes it as "long non-coding RNA (GBAR_LNC021497)". Lineage: Eukaryota; Viridiplantae; Streptophyta; Magnoliopsida; Malvales; Malvaceae. The record is from RNAcentral.